Molecule: ribosomal RNA, 3104 nt
Filed under: Proteus vulgaris
Lineage: Bacteria; Pseudomonadati; Pseudomonadota; Gammaproteobacteria; Enterobacterales; Morganellaceae
Description: 23S ribosomal RNA
Rfam family: Bacterial large subunit ribosomal RNA
Source: RNAcentral
GGGUUGUGAGGUUAAGCGAAUAAGCGUACACGGUGGAUGCCUAGGCAAUCAGAGGCGAUGAAGGACGUGCUAAUCUGCGAUAAGCGUCGGUAAGGUGAUAUGAACCGUUAUACCCGACGAUUUCCGAAUGGGGAAACCCAAUAUCCAAUGGAUAUUAUCAUUAACUGAAUACAUAGGUUAAUGAAGCGAACCGGGAGAACUGAAACAUCUCAGUACCCCGAGGAAAAGAAAUCAACCGAGAUUCCCCUAGUAGCGGCGAGCGAACGGGGAACAGCCCAGAGUCUUAAUCAAUAGCAGCAUCAGGAGAACGGUCUGGAAAGUCCGGCAGUAAAGGGUGAUAGCCCCGUAUCCGAAGAUGCUGUUAUUGUGAACUCGACGAGUAGGGCGGGACACGUGUUAUCCUGUCUGAAUAUGGGGGGACCAUCCUCCAAGGCUAAAUACUCCUGAUUGACCGAUAGUGAACCAGUACCGUGAGGGAAAGGCGAAAAGAACCCCGGCGAGGGGAGUGAAAAAGAACCUGAAACCGUGUACGUACAAGCAGUAGGAGCCCCAUCACUCAAGUGCCUCGCACUGAGUGAUUGGACAAACCACUCGAAAACAGCGCAGCGUUUACCUACAAAGUGGAUUGAUUUUUUCAAGCCGUCGCGCAGUGUACAUAGAAGUACACGAGCAACGGAAGUUAAAAAAUCGAGCCAGUUUGACAGUAAAAGCAAGCGGGACAUUUGAGGAUGGGGUGACUGCGUACCUUUUGUAUAAUGGGUCAGCGACUUAUAUUCUGUAGCGAGGUUAACCGUAUAGGGGAGCCGUAGGGAAACCGAGUCUUAACUGGGCGAAUGAGUUGCAGGGUAUAGACCCGAAACCCGGUGAUCUAUCCAUGGGCAGGUUGAAGGUUGGGUAACACUAACUGGAGGACCGAACCGACUAAUGUUGAAAAAUUAGCGGAUGACUUGUGGAUGGGGGUGAAAGGCCAAUCAAACCGGGAGAUAGCUGGUUCUCCCCGAAAGCUAUUUAGGUAGCGCCUCGUGAACUCAUCUUCGGGGGUAGAGCACUGUUUCGACUAGGGGGUCAUCCCGACUUACCAACUCGAUGCAAACUGCGAAUACCGAAGAAUGUUAUCACGGGAGACACACGGCGGGUGCUAACGUCCGUCGUGAAGAGGGAAACAACCCAGACCGCCAGCUAAGGUCCCAAAGUCAUGGUUAAGUGGGAAACGAAGUGGGAAGGCUCAGACAGCCAGGAUGUUGGCUUAGAAGCAGCCAUCAUUUAAAGAAAGCGUAAUAGCUCACUGGUCGAGUCGGCCCGCGCGGAAGAUGUAACGGGGCUAAACCAUGCACCGAAGCUGCGGCAGCAACACUAAGUGUUGUUGGGUAGGGGAGCGUUCUGUAAGCCUGCGAAGGUGUGCUGUGAGGUAUGCUGGAGGUAUCAGAAGUGCGAAUGCUGACAUAAGUAACGAUAAUGCGGGUGAAAAACCCGCACGCCGGAAGACCAAGGGUUCCUGUCCAACGUUAAUCGGGGCAGGGUGAGUCGACCCCUAAGGCGAGGCUGAAAAGCGUAGUCGAUGGGAAACGGGUUAAUAUUCCCGUACUGGUGGUAACUGCGAUGGGGGAACGGAGAAGGCUAGGUUGUCCGGGCGACGGUCGUCCCGGUUCAAGCAUGUAGGCAGAGUGAUUAGGCAAAUCCGGUCACUUAAUGCUGAGGUGUGAUGACGAGCCACUAAGGUGGUGAAGCAAUUGAUGCCCUGCUUCCAGGAAAAGCCUCUAAGCUUCAGGUUACCAACAAUCGUACCCCAAACCGACACAGGUGGUCAGGUAGAGAAUACUCAGGCGCUUGAGAGAACUCGGGUGAAGGAACUAGGCAAAAUGGUGCCGUAACUUCGGGAGAAGGCACGCUGGCGGUAAGUGAAGUCCCUUGCGGACGGAGCCGAAGCCAGUCGAAGAUACCAGCUGGCUGCAACUGUUUAUUAAAAACACAGCACUGUGCAAACACGAAAGUGGACGUAUACGGUGUGACGCCUGCCCGGUGCUGGAAGGUUAAUUGAUGGGGUUAUCCUUAGGGAGAAGCUCUUGAUCGAAGCCCCAGUAAACGGCGGCCGUAACUAUAACGGUCCUAAGGUAGCGAAAUUCCUUGUCGGGUAAGUUCCGACCUGCACGAAUGGCGUAAUGAUGGCCAGGCUGUCUCCACCCGAGACUCAGUGAAAUUGAACUCGCUGUGAAGAUGCAGUGUACCCGCGGCAAGACGGAAAGACCCCGUGAACCUUUACUAUAGCUUGACACUGAACAUUGAGCCUUGAUGUGUAGGAUAGGUGGGAGACUAUGAAGUGUGGACGCCAGUCUGCAUGGAGUCAACCUUGAAAUACCACCCUUUAACGUUUGAUGUUCUAACCUAGGUCCAUAAUCUGGAUCGGGGACCGUGUCUGGUGGGUAGUUUGACUGGGGCGGUCUCCUCCUAAAGAGUAACGGAGGAGCACGAAGGUUGGCUAAGCAUGGUCGGACAUCAUGCGGUUAGUGCAAAGGCAUAAGCCAGCUUGACUGUGAGAGUGACGGCUCGAGCAGGUACGAAAGUAGGUCUUAGUGAUCCGGUGGUUCUGAAUGGAAGGGCCAUCGCUCAACGGAUAAAAGGUACUCCGGGGAUAACAGGCUGAUACCGCCCAAGAGUUCAUAUCGACGGCGGUGUUUGGCACCUCGAUGUCGGCUCAUCACAUCCUGGGGCUGAAGUAGGUCCCAAGGGUAUGGCUGUUCGCCAUUUAAAGUGGUACGCGAGCUGGGUUUAGAACGUCGUGAGACAGUUCGGUCCCUAUCUGCCGUGGGCGUUGGAAGAUUGAGAGGGGUUGCUCCUAGUACGAGAGGACCGGAGUGAACGCACCACUGGUGUUCGGGUUGUCAUGCCAAUGGCAUUGCCCGGUAGCUAAGUGCGGAAGAGAUAACCGCUGAAAGCAUCUAAGCGGGAAACUUGCCUCGAGAUGAGUCUUCCCUGUCACCUAGAGUGACCUAAAGGAACGUUUAAGACUAAGACGUUGAUAGGCUGGGUGUGUAAGCGUAGCGAUACGUUGAGCUAACCAGUACUAAUGAACCGUGAGGCUUAACCUGACAACACCGAAGGUGUUU